This 585-nucleotide unclassified non-coding RNA is filed under the name Hevea brasiliensis (rubber tree). Lineage: Eukaryota; Viridiplantae; Streptophyta; Magnoliopsida; Malpighiales; Euphorbiaceae. The record is from RNAcentral.
GUUUUACUGUAGAAUUCAAAAGCAAAUGAAAUAAAUUCCUUCUUUAUGUGAUUUCAAAUGGUCCUUUGGUGAUAAGAUCAUCCAAAGCUAGAAGGAUAGUAAGUUGUGUAGACAAUUAAAGGUUAGAUUUGAGAUAAGUGAUGAAGUUAGACGUUUAUGAGCCUGAAAACUCUGGCUGCUGUGACUACCUAUAAGUGACUUUGCAACAGGAAUCAUGGUUACAGAAUUCAGAGAAGGAUACCCUUGGGCCUCUGUAAAUUAGGAAGCCGUUGUUAUUCCCUUUCAUGGUUGUGUAAGUAUAUUGAAGAAUAUUUUCAAAAUUAAUUUCUGUCUCUUAAUUUGUUGUGAAUGUUGAGUUCUGGCAGUAAUAUCUACUAUACCAUCACCCUGUGUCACCAAAUUCUUAGGGAUGGGCAAGCAAAAUUUAAAAACUGAACCGCCGAUUGAAAACCUGGAAACUGAUCCACAAAGAUCACAUUAUAUGAGCUAUCAGCAGAUACUGAUACAACUCCCCUGUGUGUUAUACAUCACACUGUAUAUACUUUUAAUAUUUUGUCCUUAAAUGGUCAUUUAUUUUCUUUGUAG